RNAcentral lists this non-coding RNA (28 nucleotides) under Cricetulus griseus (Chinese hamster). The record is from RNAcentral. Lineage: Eukaryota; Metazoa; Chordata; Mammalia; Rodentia; Cricetidae.
GACUUCUCUCGGUUCUUGUCCGCUCCUC